CUGAGACUCGAGAUUCCAUGCACAAGGAUGGUCUUCAGAUUCUCAUGACCUCACUGCUAUUCGUAGCAAUACAAACAGACAGGGUAUAGGCAAAAUUAACAUCACACAAAACAUAAGCACAAACUACAUAAUAAUAUUCUAUGUGUCGCUACGAGAUCGUGGGUUCGAGAACCACUAAAUUCGAAGCUACGGUUAUGAAUAAGCCGAGGGGCUCGUUUGCAAUUGCGCUGGGUCGAAGGGGUAUCUGACGAUUUCGGCUGUUAGAUUCAAAAUCAAGGGCUCUUGUUAGAUCGUUAUUUAAAACGAAAUGGCAAGCAAUUGUGAUCGUAGGAUCGUGGAUCAGUGGUCCGAAAUUCACCCACGACACGUGUUGGCCCCAACCCUAGGAUCAUGGAGCAACGUCAUGGAUCAAAGGGGCCAGCCGAUAUCUACCAGAUCUAAUCACGUUCGUUCCUUCCACGAUCGACGGUCCCGAGUGCUUUCUUCCCCCAGCUAGCGCCCAGGUUGCGGCGCCCCGAUCCCCACGGCGCCGAGCAUCACACCGGCGCAGGCCAAUCUUGCUACCCUCCUGACCACUCCCCCAACCACUCGGUGAAAACAGAGCGAGCAUGAAGGCAAACAUCAGGGAACGUUUCUUACUAGCAAUCGAGGCAGUGUCUAGUCCGACCACGCAACAUGGCGGGUCCGCGGCGGCACAACACCGAUGGAAGUCCCCCAUUCCCUGGGACCGAACCCAAGUUCUACUGGUGGCAAUGCGCUUCAGAGAGUAUGGAGGAACUAUGGGGAGAGGACUCACCAAUCAUGGUUCUGUGGCGCAGCCGGUUCACAACGAUGAAUUUCUCUCUCACCCUACCUACACGGACGGCAAUGGUGCAAGGUUGGGGCGCAUCGUUUAGCUCUUUUUAACAUAAGGAGGCAUAGGAGGCUCGUAUAUAUAUUCUCAACACUGAGAGCUCCAACAAAAUUCGU
RNAcentral lists this long non-coding RNA (969 nucleotides) under Zea mays. RNAcentral describes it as "long non-coding RNA (ZMAY_LNC004893)". Lineage: Eukaryota; Viridiplantae; Streptophyta; Magnoliopsida; Poales; Poaceae. The record is from RNAcentral.